Molecule: ribosomal RNA, 253 nt
Filed under: uncultured bacterium
Lineage: Bacteria
Description: partial 16S ribosomal RNA
Rfam family: Bacterial small subunit ribosomal RNA
Source: RNAcentral
UACGAAGGGGGCUAGCGUUGCUCGGAAUCACUGGGCGUAAAGGGCGCGUAGGCGGCCAUUCAAGUCAGAGGUGAAAGCCCAAGGCUCAACCUUGGAACUGCCUUUGAUACUGUUUGGCUUGAGACCGGUAGAGGUAAGUGGAACUGCGAGUGUAGAGGUGAAAUUCGUAGAUAUUCGCAAGAACACGAGUGGCGAAGGCGGCUUACUGGACCGGUUCUGACGCUGAGGCGCGAAAGCGUGGGGAGCAAACAGG